GCUGUUGUAGCUCAGUAGGCAGAGCACAUCCUUGGUAAGGAUGAGGUCGUGCGUUCGAAUCGCAUCAACAGCUCCA
Molecule: transfer RNA, 76 nt
Filed under: bioreactor metagenome
Description: tRNA-Thr
Rfam family: tRNA
About the family: Transfer RNA (tRNA) molecules are approximately 80 nucleotides in length.
Source: RNAcentral